GGGUUGUGAGGUUAAGCGACUAAGCGUACACGGUGGAUGCCCUGGCAGUCAGAGGCGAUGAAGGACGUGCUAAUCUGCGAUAAGCGUCGGUAAGGUGAUAUGAACCGUUAUAACCGGCGAUUUCCGAAUGGGGAAACCCAGUGUGUUUCGACACACUAUCAUUAACUGAAUCCAUAGGUUAAUGAGGCGAACCGGGGGAACUGAAACAUCUAAGUACCCCGAGGAAAAGAAAUCAACCGAGAUUCCCCCAGUAGCGGCGAGCGAACGGGGAGCAGCCCAGAGCCUGAAUCAGUGUGUGUGUUAGUGGAAGCGUCUGGAAAGGCGCGCGAUACAGGGUGACAGCCCCGUACACAAAAAUACACAUACUGUGAGCUCGAUGAGUAGGGCGGGACACGUGGUAUCCUGUCUGAAUAUGGGGGGACCAUCCUCCAAGGCUAAAUACUCCUGACUGACCGAUAGUGAACCAGUACCGUGAGGGAAAGGCGAAAAGAACCCCGGCGAGGGGAGUGAAAAAGAACCUGAAACCGUGUACGUACAAGCAGUGGGAGCACGCUUAGGCGUGUGACUGCGUACCUUUUGUAUAAUGGGUCAGCGACUUAUAUUCUGUAGCAAGGUUAACCGAAUAGGGGAGCCGAAGGGAAACCGAGUCUUAACUGGGCGUUAAGUUGCAGGGUAUAGACCCGAAACCCGGUGAUCUAGCCAUGGGCAGGUUGAAGGUUGGGUAACACUAACUGGAGGACCGAACCGACUAAUGUUGAAAAAUUAGCGGAUGACUUGUGGCUGGGGGUGAAAGGCCAAUCAAACCGGGAGAUAGCUGGUUCUCCCCGAAAGCUAUUUAGGUAGCGCCUCGUGAAUUCAUCUCCGGGGGUAGAGCACUGUUUCGGCAAGGGGGUCAUCCCGACUUACCAACCCGAUGCAAACUGCGAAUACCGGAGAAUGUUAUCACGGGAGACACACGGCGGGUGCUAACGUCCGUCGUGAAGAGGGAAACAACCCAGACCGCCAGCUAAGGUCCCAAAGUCAUGGUUAAGUGGGAAACGAUGUGGGAAGGCCCAGACAGCCAGGAUGUUGGCUUAGAAGCAGCCAUCAUUUAAAGAAAGCGUAAUAGCUCACUGGUCGAGUCGGCCUGCGCGGAAGAUGUAACGGGGCUAAACCAUGCACCGAAGCUGCGGCAGCGACGCUGAUGCGUUGUUGGGUAGGGGAGCGUUCUGUAAGCCUGCGAAGGUGUGCUGUGAGGCAUGCUGGAGGUAUCAGAAGUGCGAAUGCUGACAUAAGUAACGAUAAAGCGGGUGAAAAGCCCGCUCGCCGGAAGACCAAGGGUUCCUGUCCAACGUUAAUCGGGGCAGGGUGAGUCGACCCCUAAGGCGAGGCCGAAAGGCGUAGUCGAUGGGAAACAGGUUAAUAUUCCUGUACUUGGUGUUACUGCGAAGGGGGGACGGAGAAGGCUAUGUUGGCCGGGCGACGGUUGUCCCGGUUUAAGCGUGUAGGCUGGUUUUCCAGGCAAAUCCGGAAAAUCAAGGCUGAGGCGUGAUGACGAGGCACUACGGUGCUGAAGCAACAAAUGCCCUGCUUCCAGGAAAAGCCUCUAAGCAUCAGGUAACAUCAAAUCGUACCCCAAACCGACACAGGUGGUCAGGUAGAGAAUACCAAGGCGCUUGAGAGAACUCGGGUGAAGGAACUAGGCAAAAUGGUGCCGUAACUUCGGGAGAAGGCACGCUGAUAUGUAGGUGAAGUCCCUCGCGGAUGGAGCUGAAAUCAGUCGAAGAUACCAGCUGGCUGCAACUGUUUAUUAAAAACACAGCACUGUGCAAACACGAAAGUGGACGUAUACGGUGUGACGCCUGCCCGGUGCCGGAAGGUUAAUUGAUGGGGUUAGCGCAAGCGAAGCUCUUGAUCGAAGCCCCGGUAAACGGCGGCCGUAACUAUAACGGUCCUAAGGUAGCGAAAUUCCUUGUCGGGUAAGUUCCGACCUGCACGAAUGGCGUAAUGAUGGCCAGGCUGUCUCCACCCGAGACUCAGUGAAAUUGAACUCGCUGUGAAGAUGCAGUGUACCCGCGGCAAGACGGAAAGACCCCGUGAACCUUUACUAUAGCUUGACACUGAACAUUGAGCCUUGAUGUGUAGGAUAGGUGGGAGGCUUUGAAGUGUGGACGCCAGUCUGCAUGGAGCCGACCUUGAAAUACCACCCUUUAAUGUUUGAUGUUCUAACGUUGACCCGUAAUCCGGGUUGCGGACAGUGUCUGGUGGGUAGUUUGACUGGGGCGGUCUCCUCCUAAAGAGUAACGGAGGAGCACGAAGGUUGGCUAAUCCUGGUCGGACAUCAGGAGGUUAGUGCAAUGGCAUAAGCCAGCUUGACUGCGAGCGUGACGGCGCGAGCAGGUGCGAAAGCAGGUCAUAGUGAUCCGGUGGUUCUGAAUGGAAGGGCCAUCGCUCAACGGAUAAAAGGUACUCCGGGGAUAACAGGCUGAUACCGCCCAAGAGUUCAUAUCGACGGCGGUGUUUGGCACCUCGAUGUCGGCUCAUCACAUCCUGGGGCUGAAGUAGGUCCCAAGGGUAUGGCUGUUCGCCAUUUAAAGUGGUACGCGAGCUGGGUUUAGAACGUCGUGAGACAGUUCGGUCCCUAUCUGCCGUGGGCGCUGGAGAACUGAGGGGGGCUGCUCCUAGUACGAGAGGACCGGAGUGGACGCAUCACUGGUGUUCGGGUUGUCAUGCCAAUGGCACUGCCCGGUAGCUAAAUGCGGAAGAGAUAAGUGCUGAAAGCAUCUAAGCACGAAACUUGCCCCGAGAUGAGUUCUCCCUGACUCCUUGAGAGUCCUGAAGGAACGUUGAAGACGACGACGUUGAUAGGCCGGGUGUGUAAGCGCAGCGAUGCGUUGAGCUAACCGGUACUAAUGAACCGUGAGGCUUAACCUUACAACGCCGAAGCUGUU
RNAcentral lists this ribosomal RNA (2930 nucleotides) under Escherichia coli. Its description in RNAcentral is "23S ribosomal RNA". It matches the Rfam family "Bacterial large subunit ribosomal RNA". Lineage: Bacteria; Pseudomonadati; Pseudomonadota; Gammaproteobacteria; Enterobacterales; Enterobacteriaceae. The record is from RNAcentral.